UUGGGACUGAGUUUGGGCUGGGUUCGGGCUGGAUUUGGGCUGGGUUCGAGCAGCAGUUCGGCCAUCUCCAGCAUUUCGGAGCUCCUGCAUGCCCUCGGGCAGCGCGGGUGUUAACUGUGCUAUUUGAGCUCAUGCCGGCCGAGAGAACAGCCUGUCUGUGCGGCUCCUCUUUCCAUUUAUAGCUGUGUUUAGGCGAUCCAGCACACGGACCCUCGCGCUCUGACGCCUGGUGCCAAGCACGAGACAAAUGCUUCAUUGAUACGUGCAUACCGGGAGGGCAGCGGGGCCGGGACGGCGCUGAGCGGGGUGGCACGGGCUGGGGCCGGGUGGGUUGAGCCCGGGGUUGUGCCCAUGAGCACGGAGGAACUUAGAGCACACAGCUCUGCUGCUCUGCUGAGCGCUGCUGUCUCACCUGCCGGUCCUCAGUGCUGCCUGCUGGGGCUGGAGGGUCACAGAUGGGGUUUGUGGGCAGCUCAGCUCAAAGCAAACUGCUCUGAAUUGGGAAUGGAGGUGUCCCCUUCUCUCACUGCUAUCAGCUCAGCUCCCCAUGUGCACCCACAGACCCACCAUCCCCAGCAGAACCAUAGAAUAUCCCAAGUUAGAAUGGACCCAUAUGGAUCCCUGAGUCCAACUCCUGGCGAUAAGAAAGGAUUUUGUGCUUGGAAAACCUGGGGCAUCCUCCGAGGAGCUGAAUUGUGCUGGGUGGUGCCCAGCAGAGCAGAGGGCCUUUAGGUGGGAGCGUGGCUUCAGUGCUGAGCCUGGAGAUGCACACAGGGCAGAUGACACCCCUUAUAAAGCACAACGUGCCAUCUCACCCUUUCUCACAUCCCAUCCCCAGAAAUGGGACCCCAAAGGGCCGCCCUCACCUCCCAUUCCUGCCCGCUUCCCCUUUGCUCUGUGGAUGAGGACAGCUUUGCCCACCCAUCCAGGCUGGCUGAUCCUUUGCCCCGUGCUGCCACCAUGGCAAUGUUUACCCUGCUUAUCUCACUGCUCCCAAACCCCUAUUCCAACAGGAGCAGUGUCACCCUGCCUUCCCAUUGCCAUCAGCAUGCAGCGCUCCCCACGGCAUCGCCGUGCCCUACAUUUCAGCCCGGUGUUUUAAUGAGGGGUGGCUGCAUCACACCCCGAUGUCCCUCCUGCCUCUCCCCGCAGCACCCAGGACGAUUACAGCCAGCAUCCCUCCCCUCCUGUGCAAUUACAGCUCCAUCCUGCCUCGAUCCGCAUGGCCUCGGCGUGACUCACGUAACGACAGCCGCCCCUAAUGAAUCCUGGGUGCAUUCCUUCCAGGCUGGACGUGAUGUUAACGUGCCAUUUAGUAACCAGCCACCCCUUUUUUCUUCGUCAGCACAGCGAGUCGAGCCAGUUUCUUCCCCUGCCCCUCCUCUGCCACGGCUGCAACCUGUCCCUGUCAGCACCCAGGGCGUCAUUCCCUUUUGUGGAGGGGUUUCCUCACUGCUGCGCUCAUGCCCAGCAAUAGCAAUCUGCAAUGGGAAAGGAGAAUUGCCCACGUGUGUGUGUAUCAGAGCCAUCAGGAGAUGCUCCCAGACCCUGAAAGCUGCAGUGGAGGAGAUGGUGAUGGACACAAUGCAGCCUCUGCUCCUCACAGCCCGGGGCUGUGCUCCAGCAUUGCAUAGCCCAGCACUGAGAGCACCUGGAGCAGGACUGGGAUCCCAAUGCACCACCCCCAGUGGUUUCCAGCUGUGUGGCACAUCUGCCUGCACAGGGCACUGUGUUGGGCUCCCACAGCGUGCCCAGCCACUGCAAAUCCCCAACCCCAAACAGCCCUUGAAGAAGGGCUUGAAGAAGCUUCUCAUCAUGCCCUAAGCCUGCCCCGCUUGGGGGUCAGCAGUGCCCUAUGGGGAGCUGCCUGGUGGGGGGGAGCUGGAGCUGUCCUGGGGAUGUGUGUGUGUGUGUGCCCAUAGGAUGGGGCAGAUGGAUGGAGCACGAUGCUCUGAUAGAGAUUCUCGGGGGCUGCGGCGUGGGGAAGCAGGGAGGCAGGAUGGGGUGACAACAAGACAAACGUUUGGUGUCUCUCCCACGUGGAGCGGAGCCUGGACUCAGCCUGGAGCCACUCCAGCUCAAUGAGCAGCGUGUCCUGCAGCUUUGUCCAGGGCUGUUUCCAGGGAGCACUUGGCUGUGGGACAGGACAGCACUGAGAGCGUUGCUGUGGGUUUCCCCUCCCUGCAGUACACACACUGGGGUCUCUCCCUGUGCUCCCCCCUUGGUUCCUGCCCAGGUGUGCAGGCCCACAUCACAGAGCCCUCAGGAGGGAUUAAGGAGUCUGUUCGCUGUUUGAUUUCUGCAUGACAACUUCCAGCUGCUCUCUUGGUGACUGGGAGGGUAUUUAGCAGCCUGGAGCAUUAAAGGAUGCCCUGAACUGUGGCUGUCACCUCUGGGCUGUCUGAGACAUUGGCCCAGAUGGCUGUAAUUCAAGGCAAAAUGGGGAGCCUGGGGUGCUACCAGGUACAGCCUGAGUGCCAACAUGAAGUUUGGGUGUUGGAAGGGAUGCACAGCUCACGGCCCUUUUCCCUCCUGCCUCAUCCUUCCAGCCCCAGCAGCUCUAUGAGCACAGAUGUGCCAUGAUGCCUCAUCCCCUGAGCCCGGGGAUGCUGCAAGGCCGGGGGAUGCCACCAGCUCACCAUGGUCCCAGUCCAACAAACCAGCCUGGGGGCAGCUGGGACACAACACCCUCCCAAACAGGCCUGGGCAGUUCCAGGAGUCCCCACGCCGUGUGUCACCCCUUAGGAAGACACUCAUUGUCCCAUCACAGGAGACAGGCUGGAAAAAGGAAGUAACGAGGAGCUUUGUGAUACCCAUCUGCUCCUCUCCUGCAGACACGGCUCCAGGAGGCUGCAGUGCUGGUGCCAUGUGCUGGAGCCACGUGCCAGCCAACGUGCACAGUGCUACGGCACCAACCCUGCUGCAGCAUGGACAGGUGAGAUAAGGAGCUGUGCGUGCACCCUGUGCUCCAGCACCUCCCAUUGCACACAGCUGGGGGUUAAUCAGCCCCUCCUGCAUCCAGGCUUUGGGACACAGCAGCAGGUGGGCUGCAUCCCUGUAGGGUGUUCAUGCUCCAUGCCCUGAAACAGAGCUUUGCAAAGGCCCAAAGGCUGCUUUCAAAGGGCACCAGGAAAACCCUAAACCUGGAAAGCAGCAGCAGCAGCGAUAAGGGGCCGGUGGGGCGGGGAAGGAGUGGCCAUGGUAGUGCACUGUUUGCUCUGGGUUCACCGGCCCCAGCUGGAGCAGAGUGUGACAGCAGGUAAUAAAUGCAGCUGGCCAUGCCCUGUUCUUCGAGUA
Coturnix japonica (Japanese quail) is the source of this 3297-nucleotide long non-coding RNA. Lineage: Eukaryota; Metazoa; Chordata; Aves; Galliformes; Phasianidae. The record is from Ensembl.